CCUACGGGAGGCAGCAGUGGGGGAUAUUGCACAAUGGGGGUAACCCUGAUGCAGCGACGCCGCGUGGGUGAAGAAGCGCCUCGGCGCGUAAAGCCCUGUCAGCAGGGAAGCAAAUGACGGUACCUGAAGAAGAAGCCCCGGCUAACUACGUGCCAGCAGCCGCGGAAAUACGUAGGGGGCACGCGUUAUCCGGAUUUACUGGGUGUAAAGGGGGCGCAGACGGGUAUGCAAGCCAGGAGUGAAAGCCCGGGGCCCAACCCCGGGACUGCCGUUGGAACUGGGUGGCUGGAGUGCAAGAGGGGCAGGCGGAAUGCGUGGUGUAGCGGUGAAAUGCGUAGAUAUCACGAAGAACACCGAUGGCGAAGGCAGCCUGCUGGACUGCAACUGACGUUGAGGCACGAAAGCGUGGGGAGCGAACAGGAUUAGAUACCCUAGUAGUC
RNAcentral lists this ribosomal RNA (440 nucleotides) under uncultured bacterium. Its description in RNAcentral is "partial 16S ribosomal RNA". It matches the Rfam family "Bacterial small subunit ribosomal RNA", at positions 338 to 795 of the family's 1533-position model. The record is from RNAcentral.